This 840-nucleotide ribosomal RNA is filed under the name Bacillus licheniformis. RNAcentral's name for it is "bacterial SSU rRNA". It matches the Rfam family "Bacterial small subunit ribosomal RNA", at positions 84 to 906 of the family's 1533-position model. Lineage: Bacteria; Bacillati; Bacillota; Bacilli; Caryophanales; Bacillaceae. The record is from RNAcentral.
CCCUGAUGUUAGCGGCGGACGGGUGAGUAACACGUGGGUAACCUGCCUGUAAGACUGGGAUAACUCCGGGAAACCGGGGCUAAUACCGGAUGCUUGAUUGAACCGCAUGGUUCAAUUAUAAAAGGUGGCUUUUAGCUACCACUUACAGAUGGACCCGCGGCGCAUUAGCUAGUUGGUGAGGUAACGGCUCACCAAGGCAACAAUGCGUAGCCAACCUGAGAGGGUGAUCGGCCACACUGGGACUGAAACACGGCCCAAACUCCUACGGGAGGCAGCAGUAGGGAAUCUUCCGCAAUGGACAAAAGUCUGACGGACCAACGCCGCGUGAGUGAUGAAGGUUUUCGGAUCGUAAAACUCUGUUGUUAGGGAAAAACAAGUACCGUUCGAAUAGGGCGGUACCUUGACGGUACCUAACCAGAAAGCCACGGCUAACUACGUGCCAGCAGCCGCGGUAAUACGUAGGUGGCAAGCGUUGUCCGGAAUUAUUGGGCGUAAAGCGCGCGCAGGCGGUUUCUUAAGUCUGAUGUGAAAGCCCCCGGCUCACCCGGGGAGGGUCAUUGGAAACUGGGGAACUUGAGUGCAAAAGAGGAGAGUGGAAUUCCACGUGUAGCGGUGAAAUGCGUAGAGAUGUGGAGAAACACCAGUGGCGAAGGCGACUCUCUGGUCUGUAACUGACGCUGAGGCGCGAAAGCGUGGGGGAGCGAACAGGAUUAGAUACCCUGGUAGUCCACGCCGUAAACGAUGAGUGCUAAGUGUUAGAGGGUUUCCGCCCUUUAGUGCUGCAGCAAACGCAUUAAGCACUCCGCCUGGGGAGUACGGUCGCAAGACUGAAACUCAAAG